UGGGAAGAAAAAUGAUUGUAACUUAGCAUGUAUAAUAGUAUAUAUAGAAUUAACUUUUACUGUGAGAACCUUGUUACUGAGUAGUGUUGGAAUUCUACAAUAUUUAGCUUCUAUUUCUCUGUAUUCAAACCCCAAAUAUUUUAUUAAAAGAAAAAAAAAUAAAGAGAAGGAAGUGGAGAGCGUUUUUAGCCAUUAUAUAUACAUCUGUCACUUGACCUCAGUUUGAAUGCUGUGUACGGAUCCUCUCCACCUUAAAACAGUACAGUAAAAUGUAACAGUGUAGAUAUAGCAUAACAAAACUCAGUAAGAUGCAAAGAAAAGCGAUGAGGAUAAAGAGAAGUUGUGACUCUUUUUGUGCCUGUAUUUAGGAAAUUCAACUAUGUAAAAUGGGGAAGAGGAGGUGGGAAUGAGGUAUAUAAACAAUAAGGUACCUGCGCUCCUAUGCUUGUGUGGGGUAUCUGUAACUGAGCAGUCAAAAUCACGCUAGUUUUUAAACCGUACUAAACUGGCUUGAUGUUCAGUUGACACUGGUAUCUCUAUACAUAUCAAAUAUAUGUAGUUGUAUACUAUACAGCUGAAACAAAGUUUCUAUGCAGGAAGGACAAUAACUCUUUUAUUUGCACAAACAUCAUGCUUAAAUACCCUCGUAUAACUUCUACUAGUAUUACUGGAUGUCUUAUAUAUUCCAGUGAAAGCAAGUGGCACUGGACUGAACAACAGAGAAGUCUUAUAAAUCUGUAAGUCACAAGUAAAUUGCUUAGCACCACUUUGGGCCUAAACUCUUGCAUCUUGGUAAGUCAAUUAUAUAUAUUUAUUAGAUUUACUACCCCUACUGUUAAGCAAUUAACAAACAAAUUAUACCACUCUGUCUCAUCCAUUUAUUUCCCAGUUGAUUUGUUUCUUUCUCACUUUUUCAGACUGCUCUGCUCUUUUUAAUCCAGGAUAAGUUGAAGAAGAAACAAGACUAAGUUACAAACAAGCUUUUUAAGACAGGAUGAGCUUGCAUUCAUUGUAUGAGUUCGUGAGCUUGCAUAAGUGACACUGUGCUGUAGAAUGAUUCCAGACUUAUGAGGGAGCCAUUGAUUAUACAGCUCUUUUGGUUUUCUGAGUACUUUAAUGAUGCUUUGCUUUUUGAAGAAGCUGCAACUUAAAAUAAAGCCCGUUUUCGAUUUAUGCAGUUGUUACAUUUCCACCAUGGGAAUACAGAGCACCACAAGUAAGUUACCUGUAAUGAUUAUCAUUUUUGUGGCAUGAAGAUGAUGUGCACAGUGCUCAUUGUAUUGGAUACAAUUGGAUACUUAUCACGUUAUUUAGAUAAUUAUACAUAAAUUUCAUGGGAAGG
This is a long non-coding RNA of Gallus gallus (chicken), 1342 nucleotides long. RefSeq lists it as uncharacterized. NCBI's taxonomy places the organism in Eukaryota, Metazoa, Chordata, Aves, Galliformes, Phasianidae. The record is from RefSeq and is a predicted model, not a curated record. The transcript has 3 exons.